GCCAUGCAUGUCUAAGUAUAAGCAACUAUACUGUGAAACUGCGAAUGGCUCAUUAAAUCAGUUAUAAUUUAUUUGAUAGUACCUUUACUUGGAUAACUGUGGUAAUUCUAGAGCUAAUACAUGCUAAAAACCUCGACUUCGGGAGGGGUGUAUUUAUUAGAUUAAAAACCAAUGCCCUUCGGGGCUCUUUGGUGAUUCAUAAUAACUAAACGAAUCGCAUGGCCUUGCGCCGGCGAUGGUUCAUUCAAAUUUCUGCCCUAUCAACUUUCGAUUGUAGAGUAGUGGUCUACAAUGGUUUCAACGGGUAACGGGGAAUUAGGGUUCUAUUCCGGAGAGGGAGCCUGAGAAACGGCUACCACAUCCAAGGAAGGCAGCAGGCGCGCAAAUUACCCAAUCCCGACACGGGGAGGUAGUGACAAUAAAUACUGAUACAGGGUUCUUUUGGAUCUUGUAAUUGGAAUGAGUACAAUGUAAAUACCUUAACGAGGAACAAUUGGAGGGCAAGUCUGGUGCCAGCAGCCGCGGUAAUUCCAGCUCCAAUAGCGUAUAUUAAAGUUGUUGCAGUUAAAAAGCUCGUAGUUGAACCUUGGAUCUGGCUGAUCUGUCCUCCUAAUCGAGCGCACGGAUUCGGCUGGAUCUUUCCUUCUGGGGAACCCUAUGCCCUUUACUGGGCGUAGUGGGGAACCAGGAC
RNAcentral lists this ribosomal RNA (691 nucleotides) under Chaetothyriales sp. A1022. RNAcentral describes it as "SSU rRNA". It matches the Rfam family "Eukaryotic small subunit ribosomal RNA", at positions 48 to 748 of the family's 1831-position model. Lineage: Eukaryota; Fungi; Ascomycota; Eurotiomycetes; Chaetothyriales. The record is from RNAcentral.